CCAGGAACUUGGUUAAAAAUGACUUAAAAGAAUUAUUAAUGAAUAAGUAAAAAUUUGAAAACUUAAAAUUUACUCAUACAAUAUUUUAAAAAAGACACAAAUCAAGGCAAUAAACAACAAAACUGAGGACAUCCUACGCACUACAAAAGGAGCAAGACUUGACAAGACUUCUCCUGCUAUACACGUAUCACCCGCCAUGCGAAU
This 204-nucleotide long non-coding RNA is filed under the name Mytilus galloprovincialis (Mediterranean mussel). Lineage: Eukaryota; Metazoa; Mollusca; Bivalvia; Mytilida; Mytilidae. The record is from RNAcentral.